RNAcentral lists this ribosomal RNA (747 nucleotides) under uncultured organism. RNAcentral's name for it is "SSU rRNA". It matches the Rfam family "Bacterial small subunit ribosomal RNA", at positions 34 to 775 of the family's 1533-position model. The record is from RNAcentral.
CGCUGGCGGCGUGCUUAACACAUGCAAGUCGAGCGAAGCAGGUUAGAAUGAGAGCUUCGGCAGGAUUUCUUUCCAUCUUAGUGGCGGACGGGUGAGUAACGUGUGGGCAACCUGCCCUGUACUGGGGAAUAAUCAUUGGAAACGAUGACUAAUACCGCAUGUGGUCCUCGGAAGGCAUCUUCUGAGGAAGAAAGGAUUUAUUCGGUACAGGAUGGGCCCGCAUCUGAUUAGCUAGUUGGUGAGAUAACAGCCCACCAAGGCGACGAUCAGUAGCCGACCUGAGAGGGUGAUCGGCCACAUUGGGACUGAGACACGGCCCAAACUCCUACGGGAGGCAGCAGUGGGGAAUAUUGCACAAUGGGCGAAAGCCUGAUGCAGCAACGCCGCGUGAAGGAUGAAGGGUUUCGGCUCGUAAACUUCUAUCAAUAGGGAAGAAACAAAUGACGGUACCUAAAUAAGAAGCCCCGGCUAACUACGUGCCAGCAGCCGCGGUAAUACGUAGGGGGCAAGCGUUAUCCGGAAUUACUGGGUGUAAAGGGAGCGUAGGCGGCAUGGUAAGCCAGAUGUGAAAGCCUUGGGCUUAACCCGAGGAUUGCAUUUGGAACUAUCAAGCUAGAGUACAGGAGAGGAAAGCGGAAUUCCUAGUGUAGCGGUGAAAUGCGUAGAUAUUAGGAAGAACACCAGUGGCGAAGGCGGCUUUCUGGACUGAAACUGACGCUGAGGCUCGAAAGCGUGGGGAGCAAACAG